UGACCAGCGACUUAGGUCCUCACUGCAGCUUUCAGGACUGGCCAGGAUCUAAAGUCUUCACUGAAGCUUUAAGGACUGACCAGCGAAUUAGGUCUUCACUGAAGCUUUAAGAACUGUCCAGGGAGCCAGAUAAGAUAAAUCUAUUUGCACACUUCAGGGACAGGUAAAGCUUCCUUUCCAAUUAGGGUUAGUAGAAUUUUUUAGAUUUGUUACAUUUUAUUGAAGAGGCCCAGGCCUAAAAUUGUAAUCUUUUUAUCUUUUUUAGAUACACUGUUUCUUAACACUUGGAUGGAUUAUAUUCACUUUACUCAGCGUGUCUACAGCUUGCUUAUGGAUGUUACUUAUACACUUUGUAUGUUUGUUAAUAAUUUUAAUAUUUUUAGCACUAUAUAUUUGUUAACGCAAGCUGGAAGGUGUGAUUUUCAAUUUUAUAUGCUAAUUUAUGGUAAUGCGUCACCCUUUAAAUUGUCUGCACAUGAUCACUGUAGUAUGCUUGAUAAAGGGGCUCGCCCUGAAACGUUGCACGUCCACACUUAAUAAACACAAGGGGUAACCCUGCAUAAAGUUC
Long non-coding RNA from Xenopus laevis (African clawed frog), 568 nucleotides. RefSeq lists it as uncharacterized. The record is from RefSeq and is a predicted model, not a curated record. The transcript is spliced from 2 exons. Lineage: Eukaryota; Metazoa; Chordata; Amphibia; Anura; Pipidae.